This 522-nucleotide long non-coding RNA is filed under the name Anser brachyrhynchus (Pink-footed goose). RNAcentral describes it as "lncRNA (ENSABRG00000016071.1)". Lineage: Eukaryota; Metazoa; Chordata; Aves; Anseriformes; Anatidae. The record is from RNAcentral.
UUGGGGAAACCAAGUUGCAUCAAGUUCAAGGAACAGGUCUCCACUUGCACGGUGUCUGUAGCAGAACCAGGACCAGAAUUUUUGAUCUUUGACUGUUGCUCUAGAUGCUCAACUACUUUGUACUCUGUGCUUUGUUUGGGUGGAAGGAGACUUGCCUGAAACCUGGCACGGAUCUCUACUGAUUAGAAGCUGCUACUCUGACAGUUAUUUAAUGUUUCAGAAGCAAGGAGCUGGUGGGAAAAACUCUGCCAUUUGGUACAGAAGAAGGUUUGUUCCUCCAUUAGUUAAGGAUUUUGUGGCACCUGGCUUGGAUUCAGCCAACCGGACAAAGAGGAAACAGACCUCACAUCUUGACCUUUCUCCUGCACCCAGGCAAUGCUUCAGAUGGAGGACGAUGUGGAUGGCACUGGAUUUCGUGGCAGAAGGAAAGAGUGCAGGAGACUACUCCCCAGUUCACUUGAUUUUUACCUGAUGAUUUACAAGAUAAAAGGAAGAGCCAGCACAUGAAAUUUUAAACCAAGA